Molecule: ribosomal RNA, 1234 nt
Filed under: metagenome
Description: bacterial LSU rRNA
Rfam family: Bacterial large subunit ribosomal RNA
Source: RNAcentral
UGAAUACGAGAUGCUACGGCGUCGAAGCAGUGUAUGUCAUACUUCCAAGAAAAGCUCGCUAUGUCAUAAACAAUUAAUGCCUGUACCAUAACCGACACAGGUGGGUAGGCAGAGUAUACUAAGGGGCGCGAGAUAACUCUCUCUAAGGAACUCGGCAAAAUGACUCCGUAACUUCGGGAGAAGGAGUACCUUAUUUAUAAGGUUGCAAUAACAAGAUCCAAGCAACUGUUUACCAAAAACACAGGUCUCCGCUAAGUCGUAAGACGAUGUAUGGGGGCUGACGCCUGCCCAGUGCCAGAAGGUUAAAGAAGUUGGUUAGCAUUCGCGAAGCUGAUGACUGAAGCCCUGGUGAACGGCGGCCGUAACUAUAACGGUCCUAAGGUAGCGAAAUUCCUUGUCGGGUAAGUUCCGACCCGCACGAAACGCGUAAUGAUUUGGAUACUGUCUCGGAGAGGGGCUCGGUGAAAUAGACUUGUCUGUGAAGAUGCGGACUACCUGCACCAGGACAGAAAGACCCUAUGAAGCUUUACUGUAACUUGAGAUUGAAAUUGGACUUUAUUUGUGCAGUAUAGGUGGGAGGCGUUGAAGAAAUUCUUGCGGGAAUUUUGGAGCCAUCAGUGAGAUACCACCCCUAUAAUGUUAGAUUUCUAACUUUGUAUCAUUAUCUGGUCAAAGAACAGUUUCAGGCGGGCAGUUUGACUGGGGCGGUCGCCUCCCAAAUGGUAACGGAGGCGUACAAAGGUUUCCUCUGAACGGGUAGAAAUCGUAUCUAGAGUAUAAAGGCAUAAGGAAGCUUGACUGUGAGACCUACAAGUCGAGCAGGGACGAAAGUCGGUCUUAGUGAUCUGACGGUGCUGAGUGGAAAGGCCGUCACUCAACGGAUAAAAGUUACUCUAGGAUAACAGGCUGAUCUCCCCCAAGAGUUCACAUCGACGGGGAGGUUUGGCACCUCGAUGUCGGCUCAUCGCAUCCUGGGGCGGUAGUACGUCCCAAGGGUUGGGCUGUUCGCCCAUGAAAGCGGUACGCGACCUGGGUUCAGAACGUCGUGAGACAGUUCGGUCCAUAUCCGGUGUAGGCGUUAGAAUAUUGAGAGGAGCCUUCUUUAGUACGAGAGGACCGAGAAGGACAUACCUCUGGUGUACCAGUUAUCGUGCCAACGGUAAACGCUGGGUAGCUAUGUAUGGAGUGGAUAACCGCUGAAAGCAUCUAAGUGGGAAGCCCACCUCAAGAUAAG